GACGAACGCUGGCGGCGUGCCUAAUACAUGCAAGUUGAGCGCUGAAGGUUGGUACUUGUACCAACUGGAUGAGCAGCGAACGGGUGAGUAACGCGUGGGGAAUCUGCCUUUGAGCGGGGGACAACAUUUGGAAACGAAUGCUAAUACCGCAUAAAAACUUUAAACACAAGUUUUAAGUUUGAAAGAUGCAAUUGCCUCACUCAAAGAUGAUCCCGCGUUGUAUUAGCUAGUUGGUGAGGUAAAGGCUCACCAAGGCGAUGAUACAUAGCCGACCUGAGAGGGUGAUCGGCCACAUUGGGACUGAGACACGGCCCAAACUCCUACGGGAGGCAGCAGUAGGGAAUCUUCGGCCAUGGACGAAAGUCUGACCGAGCAACGCCGCGUGAGUGAAGAAGGUUUUCGGAUCGUAAAACUCUGUUGGUAGGGAAGAACGUUGGUGAGAGUGGAAAGCUCAUCAAGUGACGGUAACUACCCAGAAAGGGACGGCUAACUACGUG
RNAcentral lists this ribosomal RNA (497 nucleotides) under uncultured bacterium. RNAcentral's name for it is "partial 16S ribosomal RNA". It matches the Rfam family "Bacterial small subunit ribosomal RNA", at positions 28 to 507 of the family's 1533-position model. The record is from RNAcentral.